This 393-nucleotide long non-coding RNA is filed under the name Athene cunicularia (burrowing owl). RNAcentral's name for it is "lncRNA (ENSACUG00000013988.1)". The record is from RNAcentral. Lineage: Eukaryota; Metazoa; Chordata; Aves; Strigiformes; Strigidae.
CCAGUGUUCAGAAGGUUGUCUUGUGUGGGCAGGUUAUUUCCCAGCUGAGCUGAACGUGUGUCUGUGCACUUGUCUUUCCAGGUGACCCAAGACAGCUGGAACAAGUGACCGCAAGACCACACUGUGGGUCCUGAGAGCUGCCUUUCCCAUCUGCUUCAGCCCUACACCAAGUAGUCCUGGAUGUGUCCAGCUCUUUACAGAGAUGUACAAAGCCUCACCUGUAUGGCCCGAAUCCCUGCCCAGCCCAUCUCACUGCUCUGGCCUGCACUAGACUUGAGACUUUCUACAUCGCAGCUGGAAAGAGGCAUCAAAGCUGUGGUGCCGGUGGAUUAUGACUGCAGGGGAGCUGUGUUGCAUCUGCAAAUCUCUGUUGUGCAUCAAGACCACAUCUGA